RNAcentral lists this ribosomal RNA (253 nucleotides) under uncultured bacterium. RNAcentral's name for it is "partial 16S ribosomal RNA". It matches the Rfam family "Bacterial small subunit ribosomal RNA", at positions 524 to 775 of the family's 1533-position model. The record is from RNAcentral.
UACGGGGGGGGCAAGCGUUGUUCGGAAUUACUGGGCGUAAAGGCUCGUAGGCGGCCAACUAAGUCAGACGUGAAAUCCCUCAGCUUAACCGGGGAACUGCAUCUGAUACUGGAUGGCUUGAGUUCGGGAGAGGGAUGCGGAAUUCCAGGUGUAGCGGUGAAAUGACGUAGAGUAUCUGGAGGAACACCGGUGGCGAAGGCGGCAUCCUGGACCGACAUUGACGCUGAGGCGCGAAAGCCAGGGGAGCAACGGG